GAGAAAGAAAUCCUGACUUCUUUGAGCUUGAAAGCUGUUACUCUGUUACCUACCUGCGGUCUUCCUGUGCUGAAGGAGCAGACCUUUGUUGAGGCAGCUUCUAAAAUGUUCUGACAAAGAUAUGGAUUGGCAGCAGUGACAGUUUGGAAUCCAAGCGGCGCACUGAGCAGAAGGCACAGCUGCAUACAGCAGACUCAGGACAUUUCACUUUCCAUUUCUUGCUGGCUGCAGCCCUGCAGGGCGUGGUAGGCUGUGUGCUGCUGCUGAGCAUUCAGAGGAGCAUUCACUCACCAACAGGAGUGUCAGUGCCUGAUUACGGUGCAUGCAAAGAAACCAUCUGCGAUCUGAGGCCAGCAGUGUGUGUGAAAGAUGGCUCGAUAUUCCCUUCUGCUUGAAGCUGGCUGAGGACACCUGGGCAGAUGAGAGCAAGUGGAGCACAGAGCAUGCUGUCCCUUUUCCACGUGGGAGCAGUUACUUAUGGUAAAUCUGGGAAAUGUGGUUUUUUAU
RNAcentral lists this long non-coding RNA (507 nucleotides) under Chrysolophus pictus (golden pheasant). RNAcentral's name for it is "lncRNA (ENSCPIG00010007983.1)". Lineage: Eukaryota; Metazoa; Chordata; Aves; Galliformes; Phasianidae. The record is from RNAcentral.